RNAcentral lists this ribosomal RNA (877 nucleotides) under Eraphthora butleri. RNAcentral describes it as "eukaryotic LSU rRNA". It matches the Rfam family "Eukaryotic large subunit ribosomal RNA", at positions 386 to 1085 of the family's 3401-position model. Lineage: Eukaryota; Oomycota; Peronosporomycetes; Peronosporales; Peronosporaceae. The record is from RNAcentral.
GCUGAAAGGUAACCGGAUCGUUCCCAGCGUCUAGAAUCUGUGACAUAUUUCACUGGCGAGCGUGUACGUUUAUAUACUGUGGUAGCCGCUGUCUAGCUGCGCCUGGUGUAUAUAUAGUGCAUGUUUGCUAUUGCUUUGUGUUGCGGUGGGACGUCAAUGUCAGUUCAUGUGCUGCGGGAAAUGGCUGCCAAGGAGGUAGGGUUUACGCUUGCGUUUGCCUAUUAUAUCUUGGUGGACGAGUCGUCGCGGCUGGGACUGAGGUGCCUACAACGUGUUGCUAAGUGGAUGCACAUCUCUGUAUGCUCCGCGUGCAGAUAGCUUGCUAUGUGCAUGUUGCUGUGUACAGAUUGAAGAGUAUCUCAACUUGUCGCCGUUCGGGACAUUGGCGAAAUGGGGCGAUCCGACCCGUCUUGAAACACGGACCAAGGAGUCUAACAUAUGUGCAAGUGUUAGGGUGUGGAAACCCCAGCGCGAAAUUAAAGUAAAGGACAGCUCCGUUGUCUGAGGUAGGAAACGCUGCGGACUUCGGACUGCGGUGUGGCACUAUCGACCGAUCAUGAACCUUCGUGGUGAAAGAUUUGAGUUUGAGCACAUAUGUUGGUACCCGAAAGAUGGUGAACUAUGCCCGAGUAGGGUGAAGCCAGGGGAAACUCUGGUGGAAGCUCGUAGCGAUUCUGACGUGCAAAUCGAUCGUUGAACUCGGGUAUAGGGGCGAAAGACUAAUCGAACCAUCUAGUAGCUGGUUCCCUCCGAAAUUUCCCUCAGGAUAGCUGCAGCUUAUUUAUGAUAGUUUUAUGAGGUAAAGCGAAUGAUUAGAGGCCUCGGGAAAGAAUCUUUCUCGACCUAUUCUCAAACUUUAAAUCUGUAAGACCUGCAG